UGAGGGAUUUUUCAUUCUUAUUAUUUCAAAGAGCUUUAGGUAAAACUACUCAUUGAACCCACUUAGUAUAGAAUUAGGAGUUUAAUGUUCAAAUUUUAGGAUGUUACUCCUCGCAUCUCGCAAUAUUUUGCUUUCUUAUCUCUGACAAAGUCUCCUAAUAAUGAGCACUCUCCUAUAUUAAGUGUAACCACUUAAUGGUUUG
This 202-nucleotide long non-coding RNA is filed under the name Elaeis guineensis (African oil palm). RNAcentral describes it as "long non-coding RNA (EGUI_LNC064899)". Lineage: Eukaryota; Viridiplantae; Streptophyta; Magnoliopsida; Arecales; Arecaceae. The record is from RNAcentral.